UCGAGCCGUAUGAAGGGAAACUCCCACGUACAGUUUGUUUUGGGGGGGGAAGGAGCCCGACAGGGUCCCCCCACUGACUUGGCCCGGGCCUAAGUGAAAGUGCAAAAGUGAAGUGGUGGGCCUACCCAUCC
Triticum aestivum (bread wheat) is the source of this 131-nucleotide non-coding RNA. NCBI's taxonomy places the organism in Eukaryota, Viridiplantae, Streptophyta, Magnoliopsida, Poales, Poaceae. The record is from Rfam.